GAUGAAGAACGCAGCGAAAUGCGAUAAGUAAUGUGAAUUGCAGAAUUCAGUGAAUCAUCGAAUCUUUGAACGCACAUUGCGCCCGCCAGUAUUCUGGCGGGCAUGCCUGUCCGAGCGUCAUUUCAACCCUCGAACCCCUCCGGGGGGUCGGCGUUGGGGAUCGGCCCUUUACGGGGCCGGCCCCGAAAUACAGUGGCGGUCUCGCCGCAGCCUCUCCUGCGCAGUAGUUUGCACACUCGCAUCGGGAGCGCGGCGCGUCCACAGCCGUUAAACACCCCAAACUUCUGAAAUGUUGACCUCGGAUCAGGUAGGAAUACCCGCUGAACUUAAGCAUAUCAAUAAGCGGACGA
This 350-nucleotide unclassified non-coding RNA is filed under the name soil metagenome. RNAcentral describes it as "partial contains 5.8S ribosomal RNA, internal transcribed spacer 2, and large subunit ribosomal RNA". The stretch from base 1 to 120 matches the Rfam family "5.8S ribosomal RNA", at positions 35 to 154 of the family's 154-position model. The record is from RNAcentral.